GUGCUUGCUUCAGCAGCACAUAUACUAAAAUUGGAAUAAUACAGGGAAAAUUAGCAUGGCCCUGUGCAAGGAUGACAUGCAAAUUCAUGAAGUGUUACAUAUUUUU
Phyllostomus hastatus (greater spear-nosed bat) is the source of this 106-nucleotide small nuclear RNA. The record is from RefSeq and is a predicted model, not a curated record. Lineage: Eukaryota; Metazoa; Chordata; Mammalia; Chiroptera; Phyllostomidae.